Long non-coding RNA from Teleopsis dalmanni, 1984 nucleotides. RefSeq lists it as uncharacterized. Lineage: Eukaryota; Metazoa; Arthropoda; Insecta; Diptera; Diopsidae. The record is from RefSeq and is a predicted model, not a curated record. The transcript is spliced from 7 exons.
UUUUGGAUGCAAAAUUGUUUCAAAAUUUGGUUUUGAUUUCAAAUAAUCAAAUGGGGGACUCCACCGAUGUGUAUUCAGCAGGCGUAUUCUCUGCUACAAAAGAUGUUAGGGAUAAGCUAAAUCAGCUUUUCAUCGAUAUAUUAAGCGGAGACAUGCAAAAAGAAAAUCUGCAUAUCUGGCGGUUAAAGACCAACAUGGUAAUGCGAGAAUGUGUUCAUCAUCAACAAAAUGCAUUGAAUGCUUUCAGAUAUAAGUUUCCACAUGAUGUUAACAUCAAUCAGGAAAUUCAAGAGCUCAAAGAAUUUUCUGACGAACUAAAGAAAGAAUAUAUACAAUUGCAAACCGAAGCAUAUAAUAUCGAGUUAAGUUUUUUAAUAAAAAGUCGAGGCACACAGACGGAGAACAGCGAUAGUGAACUCUAAUCAAAGGAAAUUUAGGAAUUAAAUUUUAACUGUAAGAAAUUUACAGAGAGUUUGGAGGACUGGCCAAAAUUUAAUUCAAAAUUUGAAUUGCAACAAUAUUCCUAUGGGAGACUCCAACUAUAAAUGCUUGGUGGGCAUAGCCAAUGCAAGAAAAAAAAUUCAGAAUAAUUUAAUUAAACUAGUCGGUUCUCUGUUGCUUUCCCCUUUGAUUGAUGAAAAUAUGCCCUUUAGUCAAUUACUUGCGAAUAGAGGAAUCCACGCUUGUCUCACUGUGCAUCUAAAAGCAUUAAAUGUCCUAAAAGGAAAAUAUCCUGAUAACAGAAUAUUAAAACAAGAAACGGAAAAAUAUAAACAUUUGGCUAAUCAUAUAGAACAGAAGCUUGAACAUUUAUUGAAUGCUUUAACUGAAAGUGAUUGGAGAUAUAUUGAAGGAACUGACGAGAGUAACGAUAGUGAAGUUGAAUCAGAAAUUAACUGAUUUGGUUAACACAGAUCAGUUCUUUGAUAAAAAUAAAUUUCAAUGGGUGACUCCAGUGAUGAUUGUUCAGUUAGCAUAACUUCUGCUACAAAUGCUUUUAGGGAAAAUCUUAUGGAAUUAGUUGACACGUUGUCAAGCGGAUCUCUUGCUGAUAAAAGUAUUACCGCUAGACAAAUUUGGGCCAACAGAAAAAUGCUAGAAUGUGUGCAAAAACAUCAAGAAGUGUUAACUACAUUAAAAUCUAAAUAUCCUAACAAUGUCAACUUAGAACAAGAAGUUCAAACUUUUAAGCAGCAUGCCAACGAACUUCAGUUGGAUUAUGAACAACUAUUGAAUGGCUCGAAACAAGACGAAGAUGAAGAAUCCCUUGACAGUAGCGACAAUAAAAUUGACUAAAAACUUGAUUCAAAAUCCAAUAUAAUUAUGGAGAUAUUUUUGGAUCAUUGACUAGUGUUAGUAUUACUCAUUCAAGUGGUAAACUAAUGGUAUGACAUUUUUAGCAACACAAGACUACAAUUAAAUAUCUAAGUAAAAUUUAUAUUUCAGUAAUAGGAAAAGAAAAUUGUUUUCAACGCAAAUAUGCAAGACUCAAACAGUGAAGAUGAACAAUUCGUAGACGAUUGAUAAGAGCGACUAAACUAGAAGUUAUGAUAAUGGCAACCUAUGUUUCCGAACAACUAGAAACUUUAUUCACCAAAAAGAUCUGUUCAAAGUUUUAUUCUGAUUGUGAUGGAAUGCUGAAAUAUUCAUUUCAAUCCAAAAGCCUACAAUUGUGUUUCUAUGUUGUUGGUAGAUUAAAAAAACUUUACCCACUGCAACGAUACGUUUGUCAGGAAGCUUUUGACUCUUAACAGACAAUCAUCGAAUUUAUACUAUUUAUUUGUAGUAUAACCUUAUGAACUCUCUUUAAAUAUGUUCGAAAUUCUAUCAAUUUGAGUUUAUUUCUUGUGAAGAAGAUGAGUGCAUUGUAAUGACGAGUGUUAUAUAUAAAUAAAACCGAAAAUUACAUUAUUCUUGAUUUCUUCGGUUCCCAUUGAUGGCUCAAAUGUAAAUAUGCAGCGCCACUGAAUAACCUGAACUGUAA